GAUGAACGCUGGCGGCGUGCCUAAUACAUGCAAGUCGAGCGAACGGACGAGAAGCUUGCUUCUGUGAUGUUAGCGGCGGACGGGUGAGUAACACGUGGAUAACCUACCUAUAAGACUGGGAUAACUUCGGGAAACCGGAGCUAAUACCGGAUAAUAUUUUGAACCGCAUGGUUCAAAAGUGAAAGACGGUCUUGCUGUCACUUAUAGAUGGAUCCGCGCUGCAUUGGCUAGUUGGUAAGGUAACGGCUUACCAAGGCAACGAGGCAUAGCCGACCUGAGAGGGUGAUCGGCCACACUGGAACUGAGACACGGUCCAGACUCCUACGGGAGGCAGCAGUAGGGAAUCUUACGCAAUGGGCGAAAGCCUGACGGAGCAACGCCGCGUGAGUGAUGAAGGUCUUCGGAUCGUAAAACUCUGUUAUUAGGGAAGAACAUAUGUGUAAGUAACUGUGCACAUCUUGACGGUACCUAAUCAGAAAGCCACGGCUAACUACGUG
RNAcentral lists this ribosomal RNA (497 nucleotides) under uncultured bacterium. RNAcentral's name for it is "partial 16S ribosomal RNA". It matches the Rfam family "Bacterial small subunit ribosomal RNA", at positions 28 to 507 of the family's 1533-position model. The record is from RNAcentral.